CAGCCUUUUAACCCAAAAAAAGUUUGCAAUGAUUGACCAGUUGGACCAUAAAUUUAACUAUUUAAGUGCUACUAGCAAAGGCAGAUCUGACGCAGAACACUCAUGCAGAAGGAAGAGUAUUUGCGGGGAAUUUUGAGAAGAUGAAAUGGAGCAGUUGCAUCAUAACUGAUUUUCACAGUUAAUUUCUGCCUAAAAUUGAGAUGUGCCCAUGGACAGAGUGUUUUUCUCCAUGAUGACUAUUUUGCCUGACUGACCUCUCUCAAUGCUCACUCCCCAUUUUACAGGCACUCUCUGCAGCCCAGAACCAGAUGCAAGCAGCGCCUGGAGCAUCCUUCACCCCCGUCCCCUCAACAACCCCCCUCCGCACCGCCCCNNNNNNNNNNNNNNNNNNNNCGGGCCUGCAUCCAUCUUAGCACCCAAAUAUGUUCUUCAUAAAGUUCUCGUUAGAAACGUGAGACCUGUUAAUUUUGACCUCUCAUCCCCUUCAUUUUCAACCACCUCCACCCCUUUGUUCUCCCUUCUCCCCUCUGCUCUGUGCUUCCUCAGAUGAAGUCACGAGGGCCCUGUUGAUUUUCCCAUCAACAUUCUCCUUUCUGCCCUGUCGCAUCAUAAAUAGACUCCUCCGCUCCUUGCCCUUGUCUGAGGAGACCACUUCCUGUCGAAUUGCUCUUUCUCCUGUUUCCCUUGGCUUGCAUAUCCCAAGGCCAUGAGGAAUUGACCACCUCCCCUAGCUCUGCAGUUCUGCUUCCAGAUCACCAUAGACGUGCUCACAUAAAUGUAACCUAGGGGCUGCAAUGUGUCUGCAAGUUGAGCCCUUUACCUCCAUGGUUCUCUGUCUCCACUCUACUUUAGCCACCAAAUGCAGCUGCUCCACCUUGGAUCUCAUUAUCCCUUGGAAAUAUUCCACCUGUGAGAGGGUCCAAAUGCCUCUCUGACCAUAAUCCAGUCUUUCCUAGACCUUCCAGCUCUCUCAUUAAACAUUCAACAAAAAUUUAAUUAGCAUGUACUACACGUAGUAGGAUGUCACUGGGAUACAGUGAUGAACCAAAUAGACGUGGUCUCCUCAUCUAGAGCCUACAUCUCCUGCAGGAGAACAACAAUCAAAUAAUGACUUAAUUAACUGUUAAUUAAUCUGAAGCAAAUGCUGUGAAGGAAAGCACCACUGCUCAUCCUAUCCUGACCACUAAUCCUUGUCUCCUCCACAUCCUCUAGGCACAGUGAGCCCCUUCUUAUCAUCCUUUCUUUUUCCUUCCAGCCCAGACUCUAAAGUACAUAAUUUCAACCACUCUUACCAGCUCUCUCAAUGUCCUAGCCCUUUUUCUUUGGCAGACCAACAAACACAGAGUAAAUUCAGCUUUACAUCUUCCUUCCUUUAAACCAGGGUCCGGAGUAAGGCUGAUAAAUCACAAAUCAGCAUGACUCGGUGCCUUUAAGACAUCCAACCCCAACUGCACCCUCAAGACUGCUCAGUAGUGCUCAUGCACAUGUUCCUUAUCUCCACAGUUGGUAUUUCAGCCUCAACACAGCCUCCGCAUGCUCUUACACCCUUUCCCCUGGACAUGUCUUGGUGUCUUACUCCACAAAGAAAACAUGAACAUGAACUCUCACACCCUUCUGCUCUCUACCCACCCACAUGCAUACAUUAUAUUCAUUCUUAUCUCCUUCUCCCCAUCUCUCUUAAUAGGGAGUCCCUCCUUCUCUCAGAGGCUAACUUUUCCCCUCCUUUCUGGUCUUCCUGUUAUUUUUAGCCCCUUCUCAAUCUCUUGCAUGGAUUUUUCUUUUCACCUCUGUCUAUCCUUUGAAUAUAAAUGUCCCAAGUUAUUUCCCCUGCGACCUAGGUACUUUUCUUACUCUUCCUAGUCAGCUUGAGUGAUUUCCAUCACAACCAGGUCUUCAUUUGUUACCUAUGUGCUCAUUAUGCUAAAAUCUCUCUCUCUUUCUUUCUCGAGAAACCUUUCUCCUGACCACCAGAUGUAUUCCUCCGCCUGGAUGUCCUUAGGCAGAUCAGUCACACUCAUCUCUUCAGGACUGGACCCACCGUCUUCCUCAACAUGCUUGGUGGCAAAUUUUCCAGUCCCCAAAUUGGAAAGCUUGACAAAGGCGAUUUUCUUAUUUAAAGUGAUGUGAAGACACAGAGAGGAUGACAUGUGACAGCGUGUUGGAGGCGGAGAUUGGAGCCAUGCAGCUGCAAGCCAGCAACACCAAGACCUGCUAGCAACACCAGAAGCUGAGAGAAGGGCAUGGAACAGAGGCAGCAUGGUCCUGCUGACCCCUUGAUUCUGGACUUCUGCCCUCCAGAACUAGGAGAGAAUAAAUUUCUGUUGUCCUACCCUAUUUGUGGUAAUUCAUUACGGCAGUCCUAAAAAACUAACAUGGGUAGGAAGCUAAUAUAUGUAUAGCUUUGCAUAUAU
Long non-coding RNA from Equus caballus (horse), 2411 nucleotides. Lineage: Eukaryota; Metazoa; Chordata; Mammalia; Perissodactyla; Equidae. The record is from Ensembl.